This 468-nucleotide ribosomal RNA is filed under the name uncultured bacterium. RNAcentral's name for it is "partial 16S ribosomal RNA". It matches the Rfam family "Bacterial small subunit ribosomal RNA", at positions 28 to 507 of the family's 1533-position model. The record is from RNAcentral.
GACGAACGCUGGCGGCGUGCUUAACACAUGCAAGUCGAACGGAAAGGCCCUGCUUUUGUGGGGUGCUCGAGUGGCGAACGGGUGAGUAACACGUGAGUAACCUGCCCUUCACUUUGGUGUAACUUCAGGAAACUGGGGCUACUACCGUAUAGGAGCUCCUGCUGCAUGGUGGGGGUUGGAAAGUCUCGGCGGUUGGGGAUGGACUCGCGGCUUAUCAGCUUGCUGGUGGGGUAGUGGCAUACCAAGGCUUUGACGGGUAGCCGGCCUGAGAGGGUGACCGGCCACAUUGGGACUGAGAUACGGCCCAGACUCCUACGGGAGGCAGCAGUGGGGAAUAUUGCACAAUGGGCGGAAGCCUGAUGCAGCAACGCCGCGUGCGGGAUGACGGCCUUCGGGUUGUAAACCGCUUUCGCCUGUGACGAAGCGGGAGUGACGGUAAUGGGUAAAGAAGCACCGGCUAACUACGUG